Molecule: long non-coding RNA, 973 nt
Filed under: Zostera marina
Lineage: Eukaryota; Viridiplantae; Streptophyta; Magnoliopsida; Alismatales; Zosteraceae
Description: long non-coding RNA (ZMAR_LNC000434)
Source: RNAcentral
AGAAAAAUUUAAGGUGUUGUUUUUUAUACAUCCAUACUUCAAUUAUUUAAUAUUAUUAUAAGUUGUAUAACAUUGUAUAUUAAUUCGCAGAGAAAAUCAGAAAUAAACAAAAUAAACCGGACUAAGAAGAUACUCAAUCACAAAACCGGACGUGAAGGCAUUGAAGCAUCAUGAAUCAAUGUAUUGAUUCGUUCUUCUGGUAGUGACAAUGAAGUCAUUGUAAGUCUUAUUUUAUUUUAUAAUGUUUAUAAUUAGUAUUUUAUCGAUCUACUCAUAGCUUAUUACUUAUUUUGUAGAAAAACAUGUCUGAAUAUUACAAUAGUGAUGAAAUUCAACAAUUACGUACAACAACGGAUGAAAAUAUAUGUUUUAAAUAAUUUUACUAUUUCAAAUUAUUUAAAUGUUUUAUUUUCUUAUAUAUUAUUUUUAUUAAAAGCAAAAAAGGAAGGUACAUUGGACUUGGUGGAGGAUCAUAUGCUGAGUCGAGCAUUGCUUCUACCAGAUUUGCAGUUGAAAUGAAUGCAAGAUUUCUUGUGAAAGAAAAAGAAAAAGAAAAAAUUGAUGAUCAAAUGGAGAAGAUACUAGAGGUAUGUGUAUGAUAAUACAUGAAAUUUUAAACUAAUACAUAAAUAUUAAUGAAUCUUAAAUGUUUUAUAGGAUAAUCGAUAUUUAAAAAAAAAAAAUGAGGAAAUUUUUGAUAUGUAUCAAGACAUGAUGAAAACAUUUCUAUCACAAUCAAAUACAACUGCACAACCUUCAGAUCAUGGAUCGUUGCAAGAUAAAAGUGCAGGUCAGAGCGAUCAAAGAUAUCAAACUCCUCCAUCCAAAUAGUUCUUCCAUGUUAGUUUUGUUGAAUGUUAGUUUUCUUGAAUGUCAAAUUUGUUGAAUGUUAUAUUUGUUGAAUGUUUUUGUAUUGAAUAUUUGUUGAAUAUUGAAUAAAUUUACAUGAAUUAAUAUUGAAUGAAUUUACGGG